Molecule: ribosomal RNA, 370 nt
Filed under: uncultured bacterium
Lineage: Bacteria
Description: bacterial SSU rRNA
Rfam family: Bacterial small subunit ribosomal RNA
Source: RNAcentral
GAUGAACGCUGGCGGCGUGCCUAACACAUGCAAGUCGAGCGAUUUACUUCGGUAAAGAGCGGCGGACGGGUGAGUAACGCGUGGGUAACCUGCCCUGUACACACGGAUAACAUACCGAAAGGUAUGCUAAUACGAGAUAAUAUGCUUUUAUCACAUGGUAGAAGUAUCAAAGCUUUUGCGGUACAGGAUGGACCCGCGUCUGAUUAGCUGGUUGGUGAGGUAACGGCUCACCAAGGCGACGAUCAGUAGCCGGUCUGAGAGGAUGAACGGCCACAUUGGGACUGAGAUACGGCCCAGACUCCUACGGGAGGCAGCAGUGGGGAAUAUUGGGCAAUGGGCGAAAGCCUGACCCAGCAACGCCGCGUGAAGG